AGUGAACGCUGGCGGUAGGCCUAACACAUGCAAGUCGAACGGCAGCACAGUAAGAGCUUGCUCUUACGGGUGGCGAGUGGCGGACGGGUGAGUAAUACAUCGGAAUCUACUUUUUCGUGGGGGAUAACGUAGGGAAACGUACGCUAAUACCGCAUACGACCUACGGGUGAAAGCAGGGGAUCUUCGGACCUUGCGCGAUUGAAUGAGCCGAUGUCGGAUUAUCUAGUUGGCGGGGUAAAGGCCCACCAAGGCGACGAUACGUAGCUGGUCUGAGAGGAUGGUCAGCCCCACUGGAACUGAGACACGGUACAGACUACUACGGGAGGCAGCAGUGGGGAAUAUUGGACAAUGGGCGCAAGGCUGAUCCAGCCAUACCGCGUGGGUGAAGAAGGCCUUCGGGUUGUAAAGCCAUUUUGUUGGGAAAGAAAAGCAGCAGGUUAAUCCCCCGCUGUUCUGACGGUACCCAAAGAAUAAGCACCGGCUAACUUCGUG
Molecule: ribosomal RNA, 492 nt
Filed under: uncultured bacterium
Lineage: Bacteria
Description: partial 16S ribosomal RNA
Rfam family: Bacterial small subunit ribosomal RNA
Source: RNAcentral